CUUGACUGGAGAGAGUUCUGGGAGGAGAGGUGCCAAACGGCAACUGGACUCUCAGGCGAUGGGGUGGGCCCCACUUUCUCCCUUUUCUGCAACCAGGUCGGAUGAUGCAGAUGGUGAUGGGAGGAGUCAAAUGGCAGUAGAUGUGAGAAGAGGACCCACACACUGAAAUGCAACACCCAAGGUUUGAAUUAAACAAGUGGUGUGUGGGUGUGUUGAACCAUAUUUUUUACUUUUAAAGCCACCUUCUUUACCAUGCCAAAACAUGGCUGGGAAGAGGGCAGCUCUACUCUACAGAAUACUUGUGGGACCAGGCGUUGGGCUCCCCAUGCCCCAGCCCAUAUAAAUAAGAGACCAAUAAGACUGGUUUGGGGUCAAAACAGGCCACAGCUUUAUUGAAUACAGAUGAAAGAGGUUUGGCUUGGGCGUAAAGGUAAAGGUAAAGGGACCCCUGACAGUUAAGUCCAGUCGCAAACAACUCUGGGGUGGCGGCACUCAUCUCGCUUUACAGGCUGAGGGAGCUGGCGUUUGCCCGCUCCGCAGAGUUUUUCCAGGUCGUGUGACCAGCAUGACUAAGCCGCUUCUGGCACAAUGGAACACCAACACAAGAGCAGCACAUGGAAACGCUGUUCCCACCAGAGAGGUACCUAUUAAUCUACUUGCACUGCUUUCGAACUGCUACGUUGGCAGGAGCAGGGACCGAGCAAUGGGAGCUCACCCUGUCGCGGGGAUUAGAACCACCAACCUUCUGAUCGGCAAGCCCAAGGCUCGGUGGUUUAGACCACAGCACCACCCGCGUUCUUUGGCUUGGGGAUGGGGCAAUCUAAAUACUUCUGUCCCGCCCGCCGGAAGUGACACCUGGAUCCCUUUAAUGGGAUACCCCAGCAUUUGGAGGGGCAGGCAGAGACUACAACAACAACAACAACAACAACAACAACAACAACAACAAUAAAUUUAUUAUUUAUACCCCGCCCAUCCGGCUGGGUUUCCCCAGCCACUCUGGGCAGCUUCCAACAAAACACUAAAAUACAAUAACCUAUUAAACUGACUUCAGAUGUCUUCUAAAAGUUUGGUAGUUAUUUUUCUCUUUGACAUCUAGUGGGAGGGUGUUCCACAGGGUGGGCGCCACUACCGAGAAGGCCCUCUGCCUGGUUCCCUGUAACUUGGCUUCUCGCAGUGAGGGAACCGCCAGAAGGCCCACAGCGCUGGACCUCAGUGUCCGGGCAGAACGAUGGAGGUGGAGACGCUCCUUCAGGUAUUCUGGACCAAGGCCGUUUAGGGCUUUAAAGGUCAGCACCAACACUUUGAAUUGUGCUCGGAAAUGUACUGGGAGCCAGUGUAGGUCUUUCAAGACAAGUGUUAUAUGGUCUCGGCGGCCGCUCCCAGUCACCAGACUAGAUGCCGCAUUCUGGAUUAGUUGUAGUUUCCGGGUCACCUUCGAAGGUAGCCCCACAUAGAGCGCAUUGCAGUAGUCCAAGCGACAGAUAACCAGAGCAUGCACCACUCUGGUGAGACAGUCUGCAGGCAGAUAGGGUCUCAGCCUGCGUACCAGAUAGAGCUGAUAAACAGCUGCUCUGGACACAACCUUCCCUGCAUCCAAAACAAAGGAUUGCCCCAAUGCCCAACCAGUUGUGACGAGUGCUAUGAGGUAGGCAAAACCUCUGGGUCAGUGCCAAUUAGCCCGGUGGGCAAAUUCCUAUCUGGCCCCAUAAAGAGCGGCGACCACCGUAGCCACAGCAAAGUCAUUGACUAUCAGCUUAAACAGAGGGUCGGUGGGCAGGGAAAAUCUUGGCAAAGGAACAAACAGGUAGUGCCCCAGGUGUGGGCUGCUCAAAUGGGGCGAGGGUCGCCUACAUGCUCUGUCGGCUCCACCCCCUGGCACAGCCCAAGUCUGCACCAAAGCAGGGUGCAAGCAAAAAUAUAUAAAAUAAAAUAAAAUUGGGAGGAUGCUGAAUGAGAAAUGACAGUGCUCUAAAUCUAUCUAUAGAACUUUGGGGUUUUUGUGUUGUUGUUUUUUGCCAGGAGCCAGAUAGGCAGUUCAUUAAAUCCACACAAUUUGUAUGCUUUCAUAACAACAUAGUUACAUGCCCAACACAGGAAUCUAUCAAAUUCUGUUUAUAAGGAUUAUUGAUGUAUCAGUUGACUAUGCAGCCCCAGAGUCAAAACUCUGGCGGAUUUUACACCAGUCUUUUAAAAUAAAGAGAUUCUGGGGAAGUAAGAAGACGCUCGGCUAAUGUGAAAAUAAAUGCAUGUCUUGAAAAGUGGUAUAAAGAGAUAUUUUAUUUGCAGCCGUUUACCCUGUAAAGACAUGAAUUCUCAAUCUUUGUUGCUGCAUAGCAUUACACUGGAAAUAAAGUGCCUUGUGUGAAUGAAAGUAAUUGUUUUAAACCAAAAUCUAAACUCUCAUUUUAAGAAAUAAGAGUGUUGCCUGAGAAACAAAGGCGACAACAGAUACUGCAUUUCACAAACACAGAGAGAGAGAGGGAGGGAGGGAUUUGUUUAUUAUAUUUUCUUCCUGGUCAAGUUCAUUACCUCCACUGCAAUGGGAUUUCUCAUUUGGAUGGUCGUCAGCAAACCGGAUAAAUUAAUCAUUCUGUGCCCAGUAUUGUCUUCUGAAGGAGAACACCAGCUUUCCAAUCACACAGGGUAAGUUGAAUAAAUGCCCUGUAGGAACUGUGCAAAACCUGAACCUGGAACUAACAUUUUUUUCCUGCCUAACUUUAUGAAAAAGACCUAUCUUUAGGGGCAAUCACUCUCUCUAUAUAUAUUUUAAAAAUGUUUACGGGUGUACCAUUGUCUUGUUCUUAAUUUGAAAGGGCUGUGUGAAACCAGCCAGGCCUCAAAACUGGCCUGGUCUUGAAGGAUUUAUUUAUUUAAUUUAUAUACCACUUCAUACUCCAAUACAAAUCCCUGAGCGGUUUACAAAUCCCAACAGAAAGGAAUUAAUGUAAGAGAUACAAAAUGAAUUCCCCAUUCAAAAGGAAAAAAAUGCUGCUACUGGUUGUCGUCAUUGCAAUUCCACAUUUUAAGUAACAUAAUGAGAUAAAUCUCUCUGAACAAUGUGCAUGAGUAAAACAACUAAAAACCAGAAAUGCAGAUCCGUAUUCAAAACAUAAAAAAUGCAUUGAUACAUCAAAAUGCAACGUAAUCACAAUAUAGCAUUUGAGAAACUUGUUGAUAUUGCAAAAAGGAACAUAUAAUGCAGUCACCAAAAUCAUUCACCUGCAUUUACAGCACAUGAGGAAAAGAAUGUCAUUCGAAUGUGCUAAGCACCAUGCAUUACCUGGACCGACCCCUUAAGAAUAGCUGUCAACGUUUCCCAUUUUUAAAGGGAAAUUCCUUUAUUCCAAAUAGGAUUCCUCACUAGAAAAGGGAAAACUUGACAGCUAUGCUUAAGAUGGAGUGAGCUACGUACACAAGGAAAGAAAGAAAAGGCGAAUUUUCCUGCACCCCAAUUUAAAUGUUACAGCUUCCCCUGGGGUCUCAUGGGUUCGCAAAGCCGGUCCCUGAUACAGUCAUACCUCGGGAUGAAUACGCUUCAGGUUAAGCAUUUUCGGGUUGCACUCCGUGGCGACCCGGAAGUAACGGAACGCAUUACUUCCGGGUUUCGCCGCUCGCGCAUGCGCAGAUGCUCAAAAUGACGCCACAUGCAUGUGCUGAAACAGCAAAGCGCGACCCAUGCACGCGCAGUUGCAUAUUACAUUCGCUUCAGGAUGCGGACGGGGCUCCGGAACGGUUCCCGUUCGCAUCCAGAGGUACCACUGUAUUUGAACAUUCCCGUUCUUACCCCAUCCCUUGGCAGCAGACCUACUGUGCAGUUUAAGGAUAACUUGUUUGGCUCUCAUCUAUAAGGCGAUAAGAUACAGUGCCAUAAAUACAGUGUUUUCAGCAUCGACGUUUACUGCCAGGCAACCUCUAGCCAGUAUUUUAUUAUUUGUUCCAAAGCCAAGAAGAAUGGGCUUCAGAUCGUAUCUUUGCUUGGUCUUAUUGAACAUUUCAACUCUGUGCCAUCAAGAGAUAAAUAUGAUCUUCUAUUAUCUGAGAUUUAGAAUGGAAAUAUGGCCCCCUCUGUAACCUAAUGCUUCUCCCACAGUAUACCAUGAUUUUGCCCAGAAGUUCGUCUGAGAGAGCCAAGCUACACAUUACACAGCAAUUGUCUCUGCCCUUUUUUCAAGCACAACUUUUAAACUCUGUGGAAGGGGAAGCUCCUUUGGGGAAAAUAUCUGGAGCUAGGAAAAUGCAGGCCGAGAAAGGGGCCUACCACUCUCAAUCUCUUCCUUUAGAAACACCCUUUCCUGUUCAAAAAGGACACGCCAUGUGUUUGCAUACAACAGCAUUCCCCAACCUGGUGCCCAGAUGUUGUUGCAUGUCAUCUCUCAACAUUUCAAUCCCUUAGGAAAGGGAUUGGAAAUAAAACUGCCAAUAUCCUAAGGUCAUAAUGCAAAUCUACAGUGUGACCACAUUUGGGAUGCUGCGUACAGUUCUGGUUGCAGUGUUUGGGAGCUUUUCGUUUAGAGAAAAUGCAAGUAAGAGGUGACUUGAGAGAAGGGAAUAAAAGGGCAUGGGGCUUGAAGAAAGCAGACAAAGAUAAGUUUUCUCCCUCUCUCAUAACACUAAGAAUAGUGAACAUCCAACAAAGAUGAGUGUUGGAAGAUUCAGGACAGAUGAUGAUGAUGAUGAUGAUGAUAACAAUAUCAUUACCUGCUGCCUUGUGGGACAUCUUCAGGAGAAGAAAAAGUUUCUACACAAAUCCAGAGUGGAGUUGCUAAGAUGAUUGGAUGAGAACUUGUACACCUCCUUCGGGCAAUUCCUGCAGCCAAGCUGGUGCCAAAUGUAUUGCUCUGCUUUCCUUUGGACCACAUCAGAAAGGCCGAGGAGAAGAAAAAGAAGGAAGAGGAGGAGGAGGAGGAGGAGGAGGAGGAGGAGUUUGGACUUGAUAUCCCACCUUUCACUCCCCUUAAGGAGUCUCAAAGCAGCUAACAAUCUCCUUUCCCUUCCUCCCCCACAACAAACACUCUGGGAGGUGAGUGAGGCUGAGAGACUUCAGAGAAGUGUCCCUAGCCCAGCAGCUGCAUGUGGAGGAGCGGGGAAGCGAACCUGGUUCAACAGAUUACGAGUCUACCGCUCUUAACCACUACACCACGCUGAAGGGGGGGGGUCUUGUUGUCUAGCAAGCCCAGGACCUCCAAACACACUGCCCAGGCUUGCACCCCAGAGAGGCCACUUUGGUGCUGCUAAAACAAUGCAGGAGGCAGCCACUUCAGCCACAGCAGGUGCUGUGAUUCUCCAGCGGUUUGACCGCCGGAGGCACACUCCAUCGUCUCUCGAGACAGACGGAUGCCAACAAUAAUAAUAGAUUUAUUUAUACUCCGCCUCCCCACCCCUCAUGGGACUCGAGAUAACAGAGAUAACAGAAAGUAUUUCUGAAUGCAGAGCAUAGUUAAACUCACUUUCACAGGAACGGCUGCCAACUUUAAAAGAGAAUUAGAUACAUUCACGGAGAAUAGCAUAUUAACUGUAUGUUUCUAAAUACCAGUUUGCUGAGAAUCAAGGAAGACGAGACUGCUCUUGUGCUUGGGUCCUACGUGAAGGGUUGUUGUGAAUAUAAAGAGAGAAAGAGGAAACCAACCAUUUGACCAACCCCCUUGAGGAGGAAGAGCAGAACAGGAAUGGAAUAAAUGGGUUUAUACCGAAGCUGUUUUAGGUGCACGCCUAAAAAUGCAAAGAGUAAAUAUGAAAAAUGCACCUGUAAACCUAUGUAUCGUCCAGGUGGCCUUAUCAGGGAGGGAGCAGCAGUUGGUUGUACAGUGGUACCUCGGGUUAAGAACUUAAUUCGUUCUGGAGGUCUGUUCUUAACCUGAAACUGUUCUUAACCUGAAGCACCACUUUAGCUAAUGGGGCCUCCUGCUGCUGCCACGCUGCCGGAGCACGAUUUCUGUUCUCACCCUGAAGCAAAGUUCUUAACCCGAGGUACUAUUUUUGGGUUAACGGAGUCUGUAACCUGAAGCAUAUUUAACCUGAAGCGUAUGUAACCUGAGGUACCACUGUACCUGAUUGCUGAACGCCCAUUCCACAAGAAGCCUAAGAUUGCCUCUGUGUCGUGUGUGGAAUAGCUCAAAUGGUUCCAGUCAUAACCCCGAUAAUUAAUAAUGCCUUUUAUUCAAAUUGAAGAAGAGAGGGGCGCAUAAAGGUGAGAAGAGAUUGUCUUGUUUUGGAAGAGGAGGACAUUUCAAAAGCAAACUCCAUGAUUAUCCAGGCAUUAAAUAACCUGGUAUAAUUUCUCUGUGUGCUCUGCUCUUUCUCUCCCGUUAAUUCCUCCUGAAGUUUAUAGCGAUCGCUCAUUUCUCUGGCAACAUGAAACAGAUGAUAACAGAACUCCCCUUUUGUAUUGGGUUUUGCUUUGGCUCUCUAUCUAGCCUUUGCUGGAAGACCAGGAAAAGUCAGGAGAGGGGGAAAACUGCUGUCUUCCCCCAUGGUGCUCAGUGCUAAAGUAGCAAGAGUGCUUCUGAACCCUGUUCCUUCUCCCUAUGUGCUUUAAAGGGGUAAUUAAGUGGAUUUAUGCUCGCCAGGAAAAAUUCAGAAAGUGCAGGGAGUUGGGUGUGUGUAUGUGAAGAGAGAGCAUAUUGAAACAAGCACACUUAUCUGCCUAAUCCUGUUACUCAUAAUCUGGAAAGCACUGGAUUUUGUGGAUUGAGAAAUGAUUUGAGGAGGCUGGGAAUGGGAUUUGACUUUUUUGUUUGUUUGUUUGUUUGUUUGUUUGUUUGUUUGUUUGUUUCCUUGAGGUGCAUUAAAUGACUGAGAUGUCCGCUACUGUUUAGAUGACCUUUCAUGAGUAGAGUGCAACUCGGGUGCAAAUUUACAGCUAUCUUUUCAUCUCACUUUGGAAAAUAAGGAGACUGGUGUUAAUUACAACCCAUAGUAUUCCCCUGGUGUCAACUAGUUAUGUUGAUGAUAGACUGCUAUCUGCAGUUCAUAGCUUGGGGGUAGUCCUGGAUCCUUUGCUGUCGCUCAAGGCUCAGGUGGCCUCAGUGGCCCGGAGUGCCUUCCAUCAGCUUUGGCUGGUGGCCCACGCUACGCCCCUAUCUGGACAGGGAUAGUCGAACUACUACUCUGUGCUCUGGUAACCUCAAGGUUAGAUUACUGCAAUGCGUUAUACGUAGGGUUUGGAAACUUCAGCUAGGGCAGAAUUCAGCGGCCAGGCUGCUCACUGGAGCAAUACAAUUUGAGCAUAUUACAGUCGUACCUCGGAAGUCGAACAGAAUCCAUUCCCGAAGUCCAUUCAACUUCCAAAACAUUCGGAUACCAAGGCACAGCUUCCAAUUGGCUGCAGGAAGCUCCUGCAGCCAAUCGGAAGCCACAACAGACGUCCGGGUUCCAAAGAACGUUCGCAAACCAGAACAAUCACUUCUGGGUUCGGGAGCCAAAACGUUUGUCUCGCAAGGCGUUCGACUUCAGAUGUAUGACUGUACAUCGAUCCUGGUCCGACUGCACUGGCUACCAGUUAGUUUCUGGGCCCAAUUCACAGUGCUGGUUUUGACCUAUAAAGCCUUAAAUGGCCCAGGACCGCAAUAGCUCAAGGCCUGCCUCUUUCCAUAUGAACCUACCCGGACCCUGAGAUCAUCUUCUGAGGCCCUUCUUUGUGUGCCUCCUCCUCAAGAGGUCCAGAGGGUGGCAACACGAGAACGGGGCCUUCUCUGCAGUGACUCCCCAUCUGUGGAAUGCUCUCCCCAGUGAAGUUUGCCUGGCGCCUUCAUUAUACACCUUUAGGUGCCAGACAAAAACGUCCUUUUUAACCAGGCGUUUGGUUGAUCCGAUUUACAUCCUAUGCCCUUUUAAAACACGUUUUUUUGGGGGAGCUAUUGGGUUGUUGUUGUUGUUUGUUUAAUGUAUUUUGUGGUUUUAUAUCUUUAUUUUAUUCUGUGAACUGCCGUGAGACCCCCAGGUAUAGGGUGGUAUAUUAAUAAUAAUUAAUAAUAAUAAUAAUAAUAACAACAACAACAACAACCUGCCCAGCUAGGUGGAUGGGUCUAAGGCCUCUAGCUUUUGGGUCUCCAGCUUUGGAACUACAAUUCCCAUCAUCCCUGACCACUAGUCCUGCUAGCUAGGGAUGAUGGGAGUUGUAAUCCAAAAACAGUUGAGAACCUAGGUUUGGGAAACAAAGCAUUAUAUUGAGGCAGACCUACCGGUCAGUCUAGCUCAUAUUGCAUGCAAUGGCUGGCAGUGAUUCUUCAAGUUCUCAUGUAGGAGUUUCUCCCAGCCCUACCUGAAGUGUCAGGGGUUGAACUAGAGACCUUCUGCAGGCAAGACAGAUGAUCUACCACUGAGCUAUGGCAGCUUUGGGGCCUUUGUGCCCUUGUAUUAAUGGGCUAGGCUCAAACUUAAAUGACCUUAUAGAGAAAUUCAUGGAGGUUAAGUGUAGGGGCACCAUUCAUUAGGGGUAAAACUAUCACUCCAUAGACUGUCUUCUGGCAGGGAAGUACAUUUUGCUAUAACAGAGGAGGGAAGAAAAGGGAUGCAGAGCAGUAACUUUUGGCACAAUCUCCCCUUGCAGCUGCUCAUUGGGAGAAACUGUAAUACAGUAAAGAACUUGUACCUGAGUUUGCUUAUUUCCUCCUCCCCUCCAAUCCAUGUUCCUUUCAUGCCGUGACUUUUUAGAUUCUAAACCUGAGAGCAGGAACUGUAUUUUUUUUUUCUAUUUAAGGAUCUGUAAACCAGCCUGGGGGGAUGCGGGUGGCGUUGUGGUCUAAACCACAGAGCCUAGGGCUUGCCGAUCAGAAGAUCAGUGGUUCGAAUCCCCACGACAGGGUGAGCUCCCGUUGCUUGGUCCCAGCUUCUGCCCACCUAGAAGUUCAAAAGCACGUCAAAAUGCAAGUAGAUAAAUAGGUACUGCUCCGGCGGUAAGGUAAAUGGCAUUUCCGUGUGCUGCUCUGGUUCGCCAGAAACGGCUUAGUCAUGCUGGCCACAAGACCCGGAAGCUGUACACCAGCUCCCUCGGCCAGUAAAGCGAGAUGAGCGCCGCAACUCCAGUGUCGGCCGCGACUGGACCAAACGGUCAGGGGUCCCUUUACCUUUAAACCAACCUGGGAGCCUUCCCCUGUACCCAUUGUUCCUAUCAGUUUCCAAGCUGCAACUUUUUAUUUUAUUUUUUCAAAAGGUGGGUUUGUUGGGCAAAGAUGGUGUUCUUUAAUCCGAUUUUAAAAUGCAAAUCUAAAGUUCUGGGACGCGCUUGGAUCCUUCCUGCAAAAUACGGAGUCUGGAGGCAUUUUUCAAAGGACUAGGUGUGCUUCUGAAAGCGGAAUAGCUCCUGCAAUCAAGAGUUCACUGCAAAUAAUUGCGGUACCUUUUCUUCCUCUUGUUUCCAGCUGCAGUCAGAAAAAUGCGGCUCAGAAUUAGGGCACAAGAAAGGGCCUCCCCCCUUCCUUCUUCUAUGUCCUCCUUCCCUCUCCUGAAUUCUGCUGGGAGCCAGCUGCUCUUGCUCCAUUAGGUUUAACACCUCCAAACCCAGCCCACGCUAUCAGCACUCACAUGUUCUCCCCUGUAAUAAUAGGGCUGGGGAUUGGGGAAGAGAAGAAAGCAGGGCUGCUGAAACCUGGGAGCUCCUUCUCUCUCUCCUCCCCCCCCCCCACUUCCCACAUAGUAACUGUUGUGAGAAGAAGUACUCACCACCUAUCAGCCUGUGCAGGAUGAAAGGAAACAUCCCAGGUUCUUUAUCACAGUGGAAAGGAGGGGACAGAGAUGGUUUUCUAAUGGUUUGAUUUCACAGGCUUUUGUGCCGCUUAAGUACUAUUCAACUUCUUCCAAAUCUCCAGAGGGGGAGUUUCCAUGUGGCCAGGCAGGUCUAUUUUUAUCAGCUCAGCCAGAUCAUACAAAAAAAAGGCCCUAUCUGACCAGAUAUCUAGCUAAACCCUGGCAGAGAUGCAAACAAUAGGUUACUUCUUCCACUCCCAAGAUUACACACAAAAAUAAAAUAAUACGCGUUGCUUUCAUCCCAUACAUUCAGAAGCAACCACUACACUUAUCUCUUUCUUUCUCGACUUUCAGGGGCUAUCGCGUCUUCUUAAUAAGGAUUUGCACCUGGGAAUUGCAAGCGUCAGCCGCAGAUACAACUUCUUUCUGAUAGUGAAGAAACAAUUUCGGUUGCAGCUUAGGAACACGGGAAACUGCCUUGUAUUCGGUCAAACCACCUGUCCAUUCAGUUCAAUACUGUCAACAGUGACAGGCAUCGGCAGGAGUCUGGAGAUAUUGGAGACUGACGCCAGAUACCGAGGUUUGAUCAGGAUGAGGAGGGGAAAGAGAUGCUGAAGAAAUCAAUGUGGAAACCUUUCUGCGAUCUACUGGCAUAAUCCUUGGAUAUGGGGUGGCCGUGUUCAGAGGAAAGCUCACCUCCACAUUAGCAAGCUUUCUCACUGAGAACCUUUGAUUAGGUGCAAGGGUAAUUAUAGUGAAUUAACUUGGUGGUGACAUUUUGAAAAUAAUGCGCUAUGCACACAGCAUCACUGGUGAGUUCUCACAGGAUUCUUAGCGCUGGAGAAAGAAACUGGACUUUUCUCUCUCUCCCAGAAAAGCAUAUGUGCAUUUAACAGUCUCCGCACAGAAAGGUUCAUUGGAACCACACGAGAAGCAAAUAUUAAGCUACAUGCCACUCAAAUGGAAGGAGUUCAGAUAAAAGCCAAAUUAAGCCAAUAAAACACAAUUAAGAUGCAGGAAAGAGAAUUCCUCUUUGGAGUGGACAUAUCCUGCGACGCCAGAUUUAUUAGAGGAUCUGGCGUGGGCUUGGCAAACCACACUGCCCAAAGGAAACAAAAUCAACCACAACAUCAAAGCCGUCAAACUGACCUGAACAACAAUAAAAGACCCAGUCAUAGGGAGGUGAUGUGCAUUGUUCCCAACAUAGGAGCCUACUCCUAGGGGCCAAGGUCCCUUCGCCCCCCCCCAUUACAUAUUUGAGGGAACUGUCCUCGUCCCCCCAGUUGAUGGGAAUUGCCAUUCAAAUGGGGGGGGGGUGCCACAUCUUGCAAUCGAUUAUGUGGAGUGGGACUUGUCUGGACCCUCCCAAUAUUUUAUUUAAGUUGGCACCCCUGGCUCCCAAUGAGCAGGAGGAAGUGACAGUUCCCUAAACCACUUCCUAAUCAGGACUGUACUAGUAUAAAACAUUUUCCCCAGAAGAAGAAAUCUUCCCGGGCAAUGAAGCGCAUAUGAAAUCCACACUGUGACUUUCCCAGUUGUUGGAAGCAAGUUGUUGCAAGCUUACUGUCUGCAUGUGAAACAUGGACCACUUAUAAACAUCAUCUCCAACUCCUUGAAAGAUUCUAUCAAUGGUGUCUCCAUUAAAUAAGCAUUGUCCUCGAAAUAUAUAUUAAAAAUAAAUAAAUUGUCCUGUAGCACCUUAGAG
Podarcis lilfordi (Lilford's wall lizard) is the source of this 11389-nucleotide non-coding RNA. The record is from the annotation of a GenBank genome assembly. NCBI's taxonomy places the organism in Eukaryota, Metazoa, Chordata, Lepidosauria, Squamata, Lacertidae.